Tupaia belangeri chinensis (Chinese tree shrew) is the source of this 1251-nucleotide RNA transcript. It is a transcript of the gene named ataxin-7-like protein 1, with no coding region annotated. The record is from RefSeq and is a predicted model, not a curated record. The transcript is spliced from 3 exons. Lineage: Eukaryota; Metazoa; Chordata; Mammalia; Scandentia; Tupaiidae.
AUGUAGAUUUAGAAGAGGCUGGAAAAGAGGGUGGAAAAAGCAGGGAGGUUAUGAGGCUUAAUAAAGAAGAUAUGCACUUAUUUGGCCAUUACCCGGCACAUGACGACUUCUAUCUCGUAGUGUGCAGUGCCUGUAAUCAGGUCAUCAAGCCACAGGUUUUCCAGUCGCACUGCGGGAGAAAGCAAGACAAGAGAAAUGAAGGCACCGCCAGGAGUGGACCAGAGAGCAGCCAAGCCCUAGAGAAGCAUCAGGUGUGAGAAUGGGCAAUGCAGAAGAUAGACACAACUUCUGAAAGAGCCCUGAGGACUGACUUUGUCUGGAGAAGGCUUCCUGGAAGAGGAGACCCCAGCAGAGCCCUGAAGUGUGGACAAGCUUCCAUGUACUGCAAAUUCGUGAGCACACUCUGGUGACAGGGUCUAGUCAGCUGAUGGGCUGGAGCAGUGCAGGGGGCACCCGUGGGGUUCUUCUUCUCCAUUUUCUCCACCACCACCACCCUGGUCCGAGCUGCCAUCAGUCUCACCUGGACAACUGCAAAAGCCUCCAGCUGUUUUCCCUGCUUCCACUCUUGCUCCUCUACAAUCCAUUCUGCACACGAAGUCAGAAUCCAAAGUUAAUCAUGUCAUUCUCUUGACUUAUGGCUGCCCGUUACUCUUAAGCUAAAAGUAAAAGUCAUUCCCAUGGCUACAGAGUCUUGCAGGGUCUGGACACAUCCUGUGCCCGGCUCCUUUUCCCUGUAUCUGCCAGUCAAGCUGACCUGCAAAAUUCCUGCACUUUGGGUCUCCCUGCCACAAGGCCCUCGCACAUGCUUUCCACCCUCUCUGGAAGCGAUUUUCCUUCAUCCUGUCUUCCCACAGCUAACGCUGACUCAUUCUUCAGAAUGCACCCUCAUGGUUACUUCCUCCUGGAAGACUUCCCCAGUUUUUAUAACUAGAUCAGCUCUCCCUCAUACGUUGACAACAAAUAUUUAUUGUGUGAACAUAUGUUUAAUGUCUGUUUCCUUUACCAUGCCACAGCUCUUGGAGGGCUGGGACCAAAGUCUUCGCAUCUCUGAGCCCAGUACCAUCUCAAUAAAUAUACAGGGACUAGAUCAUGACAUUUAAUUGGCAACAACGAGAGGAGUCCAGAAAUUAUAUUUGACUAGCAUAGAGGAGAGUAUCGUUAUGACCUCUUACUGGGUUGAAAACCUGAAUUCAUGUCCAGACCCCGCCAUCUGCUGUCUGUGCUAUUUUCAAUAAAUCCCAGAUCCUCUCA